Heterocephalus glaber (naked mole-rat) is the source of this 363-nucleotide non-coding RNA. NCBI's taxonomy places the organism in Eukaryota, Metazoa, Chordata, Mammalia, Rodentia, Bathyergidae. The record is from Rfam.
GGAUGUGAGGGAGAUCUGACUGUGACCUCUCAUCCCAUUGAUUGCCAGGGUUGAUUCGGUUGACUUGCCUGCUAGGCUAGUGUCCUUUUUCUCCCUCACUGCUCCAUGUGUGUCCCUGCUGAAGCUGCGCUUGGUCGAUGAGGACAACCACCCCUGAUAGAGGAGGACCGCCCCUGAUAGAGGAGGACUGCCCUUGAUAGAGGAGGACCGUUGUUUCCUUCAUCAAGGGUAUAGGAGUAGCUGCGCUCCCCUGCUAGACCCUCCAAACAAGUUCUCAAGAAGGAAGUUCCCUGGUUUUUGCCCUUGUCCAAUCUAUACCUGAAACCUUAAUUAGCAGAAAGAUGUAUUUAAUCUGUAAACUAA